GGAGCUGCCAAUAGGAACCAGCCAUGGCAGUGGCAAGGCCAGUGGAGGGGAGAGAAAGACAAGGGAGGCCGAUGGGGCCAUUCAUGCCACUGUCGCAGAGGGAAGGACUGGGCUGUCCUGCAGCUCAGGGUCCUAGGCAUGUGCCUAGUUUGCCUAUGCGUUAAUCCGGCUCUGAUAGCAGAGGUGCUGCAGGGGUGGAGUGGGGGCUUUGGCAGAACUGUGUAUGGGGAGCUGAAAUAGGAGGCAGUACUGCAGGGCAGAAGUUAGGGACACUGGCAGAGUCUUGUAGGCAGCUCAGGUAUUGCAGGGGGUGCUACAGUCAGGCUUGAGGUGCAUUGACUGAGCUGAGGGGAAGAGUUUAUGUUGUCCCUAAUUACACUAUGCCAGUUCCACCUAGAUGCUCUGUCAACGCCCCCUUUUGUCUCUCCGUUCACCAUUCCUGGUGAAUUACCAGUCUUCUUAGAGCAACUACAUGUACAUCCUUGUGUUGGAAGUGAAUCACAGCAGUGUUCUCUUGGCAGGGUGAAGUUUCCCCAGGAUCUCUUGCAGAUAUGAAGGGAAAUGUCUUUAUUGGGAAUAUCCUGCACAGUCAGCAUUCCUCUUCUUUCCCUAUUGGGGAUUACUCUGAGGUUUUACAGGAGCAGGUUUUGAGAUUCUCAGCCUUCUGUGAUCUCCCAGACUGCAAGGACUCCAGGCAAAGCAAGAUCUCAAGAGGCAUCCACACAAACAAUGGGACCAUGAAGGAUUAA
RNAcentral lists this long non-coding RNA (749 nucleotides) under Crocodylus porosus (Australian saltwater crocodile). RNAcentral describes it as "lncRNA (ENSCPRG00005003980.1)". Lineage: Eukaryota; Metazoa; Chordata; Crocodylia; Crocodylidae. The record is from RNAcentral.